AAUCCAUAGAACUAUAUUUACAGGCGGCGUAAAAAGAAGGACAAUAAACAAAUAUAACAGUUUGGACAUUGACUUUAAACUUGUUCGGACAGGGACAGUGGUUAUUUUGAACACGUUAAAGACUUGUAAUAUUGCCAAGGAUUGUACAACUUGUUUAACUCAGGACGACUCGUUUGGUUGUAAAUGGUGCCCUAUGGUUGGGAGAUGUUCCGAUGGCUUUGAUUGGCUAAGACAAGAAUGGCGGGAGCAAGAAUGUGACAGAAAAGCAUUUGAUGAUUCAACCAAGUGCAAUUCUUCAAAACAAUGUUUAUUACACAAGACAUAUCUAUUAGCUGCACAAUUCUUUUAUCUAUUUUUCCACGGAGGAAGGUUUUUUUAGUGCACCGAGUUACAUGUAU
Saccostrea echinata is the source of this 398-nucleotide long non-coding RNA. RefSeq lists it as uncharacterized. The transcript has 3 exons. The record is from RefSeq and is a predicted model, not a curated record. Lineage: Eukaryota; Metazoa; Mollusca; Bivalvia; Ostreida; Ostreidae.